UAAGGAAUAUUGGACAAUGGACGCAAGUCUGAUCCAGUCAUGCCGCGUGAAGGAUGAAUGCCCUCUGGGUUGUAAACUUCUUUUAUAGGGGAAGAAAGAUACUUUUUUUAAGGUAGUUGACGGUACCCUAUGAAUAAGCACCGGCUAACUCCGUGCCAGCAGCCGCGGUAAUACGGAGGGUGCAAGCGUUAUCCGGAUUUACUGGGUUUAAAGGGUGCGUAGGCGGGCAUGUAAGUCAGUGGUGAAAUACCGGAGCUUAACUUCGGAACUGCCAUUGAUACUAUAUGUCUUGAAUAUUGUGGAGGUAAGCGGAAUAUGUCAUGUAGCGGUGAAAUGCAUAGAUAUGACAUAGAACACCGAUUGCGGAGGCAGCUUGCUACGCAAAUAUUGACGCUGAGGCACGAAAGCGUGGGGAUCAAACA
RNAcentral lists this ribosomal RNA (422 nucleotides) under uncultured bacterium. Its description in RNAcentral is "bacterial SSU rRNA". It matches the Rfam family "Bacterial small subunit ribosomal RNA", at positions 355 to 774 of the family's 1533-position model. The record is from RNAcentral.